Molecule: ribosomal RNA, 253 nt
Filed under: uncultured bacterium
Lineage: Bacteria
Description: partial 16S ribosomal RNA
Rfam family: Bacterial small subunit ribosomal RNA
Source: RNAcentral
UACGGAGGGGGCUAGCGUUGUCCGAAGUUACUGGGCGUAAAGCGCGCGUAGGCGGGUUGGUAAGUCCGCUGUGAAAGCCCGGAGCUCAACUCCGGAGGGUCGGUGGAUACUGCCAGUCUUGAAGGUGCUAGGGGGAGAUGGAAUUACCGGUGUAGCGGUGAAAUGUGUAGAUAUCGGUAGGAACACCAGUGGCGAAGGCGGUCUCCUGGGGCAUUCUUGACGCUGAGGCGCGAAAGCUGGGGGAGCAAACGGG